This 73-nucleotide transfer RNA is filed under the name Treponema bryantii. It matches the Rfam family "tRNA". Rfam says of the family: Transfer RNA (tRNA) molecules are approximately 80 nucleotides in length. Their secondary structure includes four short double-helical elements and three loops (D, anti-codon, and T loops). Lineage: Bacteria; Pseudomonadati; Spirochaetota; Spirochaetia; Treponematales; Treponemataceae. The record is from Rfam by way of RNAcentral.
CGCGGAGUGAAGCAGUUGGUAGCUUAGGUGGGCGCUUGCCACAAUGUCGGGGGUUCGAAUCCCUCCUCCGCUA